This 122-nucleotide ribosomal RNA is filed under the name Salvator merianae (Argentine black and white tegu). The record is from RNAcentral. Lineage: Eukaryota; Metazoa; Chordata; Lepidosauria; Squamata; Teiidae.
CCAAGAAGUCUUAGCAUUUAGGCUGCUUGUAGCCAAUCAUAUCUGAUCUUGGAUGCAAAGCAGGGGCAGAGCUGGUUAGUCCUUGGAUGGGAGACCACUUGGAAAUACCAGGUGCUUUUGGC